Molecule: ribosomal RNA, 490 nt
Filed under: uncultured bacterium
Lineage: Bacteria
Description: partial 16S ribosomal RNA
Rfam family: Bacterial small subunit ribosomal RNA
Source: RNAcentral
AGUGAACGCUGGCGGUAGGCCUAACACAUGCAAGUCGAACGGCAGCACAGUAAGAGCUUGCUCUUACGGGUGGCGAGUGGCGGACGGGUGAGGAAUACAUCGGAAUCUACUUUUUCGUGGGGAUAACGUAGGGAGACUUACGCUAAUACCGCAUACGACCUACGGGUGAAAGCAGGGGAUCUUCGGACCUUGCGCGAUUGAAUGAGCCGAUGUCGGAUUAGCUAGUUGGCGGGGUAAAGGCCCACCAAGGCGACGAUCCGUAGCUGGUCUGAGAGGAUGAUCAGCCACACUGGAACUGAGACACGGUCCAGACUCCUACGGGAGGCAGCAGUGGGGAAUAUUGGACAAUGGGCGCAAGCCUGAUCCAGCCAUACCGCGUGGGUGAAGAAGGCCUUCGGGUUGUAAAGCCCUUUUGUUGGGAAAGAAAAGCAGCAGGUUAAUACCCCGCUGUUCUGACGGUACCCAAAGAAUAAACACCGGCUAACUUCGU